RNAcentral lists this ribosomal RNA (400 nucleotides) under uncultured Candidatus Rhabdochlamydia sp. RNAcentral describes it as "bacterial SSU rRNA". It matches the Rfam family "Bacterial small subunit ribosomal RNA", at positions 980 to 1382 of the family's 1533-position model. Lineage: Bacteria; Pseudomonadati; Chlamydiota; Chlamydiia; Parachlamydiales; Candidatus Rhabdochlamydiaceae. The record is from RNAcentral.
CUCGAAAUGCAGAGGCGAUACCAGAGAUGGUAUUUCCGUAAGGACUUCUGUAUAGGUGCUGCAUGGCUGUCGUCAGCUCGUGCCGUGAGGUGUUGGGUUAAGUCCCGCAACGAGCGCAACCCUUAUCAUUAGUUGCCAACAUUUUAGGUGGGGACUCUAAUGAGACUGCCUGGGUUAACCAGGAGGAAGGUGAGGAUGACGUCAAGUCCGCAUGGCCUUUAUGUCUGGGGCUACACACGUGCUACAAUGGUCGGUACAGAGGGCAGCAAGACCGCAAGGUGGAGCAAAUCCCAGAAAGCCGAUCUCAGUUCAGAUUGUAGUCUGCAACUCGACUACAUGAAGCUGGAAUUGCUAGUAAUGGCGGGUCAGCAACACCGCCGUGAAUACGUUCCCGGGCCUU